GAAAAGGUUUCUCAGAAACCACACAACACAUUCAAACAAAUGAUA
Molecule: non-coding RNA, 45 nt
Organism: Mesitornis unicolor (brown roatelo)
Lineage: Eukaryota; Metazoa; Chordata; Aves; Mesitornithiformes; Mesitornithidae
Source: Rfam